AGCGAACGCUGGCGGCAGGCCUAACACAUGCAAGUCGAACGAACUCUUCGGAGUUAGUGGCGGACGGGUGAGUAACACGUGGGAACGUGCCUUUAGGUUCGGAAUAACUCAGGGAAACUUGUGCUAAUACCGCAUGUGCCCCUCCGGGGAAAGAUGUAUCGCCGUUCGAGCGGCCCGCGCCUGAUUAGCCAGUGGGUGAGGUAAAGGCCCGCCAAGGCGACGAUCAGUAGCUGGGCUGAGAGGAUGGUCAGCCACGUUGGGGCUGGGACACGGCCCAAACUGCUACGGGAGGGGGCAGUGGGGAAUGUUGCGCAAUGGGCGAAAGCCUGACGCAGCCAGGGCGCGUGAAUGAUGAAGGUCGGAGGAUUGUGAAAUUCUUUCACCGGGGACGAUAAUGACGGUACCCGGAGAAGAAGCCCCGGCUAACUUCGUG
RNAcentral lists this ribosomal RNA (433 nucleotides) under uncultured bacterium. RNAcentral's name for it is "partial 16S ribosomal RNA". It matches the Rfam family "Bacterial small subunit ribosomal RNA", at positions 30 to 507 of the family's 1533-position model. The record is from RNAcentral.